UCUGCCUUGUAGUGGGGGAUAACUUGCCGAAAGGUAAGCUAAUACCGCAUACGCCCUAAGGGGGAAAGCAGGGGACUCUUCGGAGCCUUGCGCUAUUAGAUGAGCCUAGGUCGGAUUAGUUAGUUGGUGGGGUAAUGGCUCACCAAGACCGCGAUCCGUAACUGGUCUGAGAGGAUGAUCAGUCACACUGGAACUGAGACACGGUCCAGACUCCUACGGGAGGCAGCAGUGGGGAAUAUUGGACAAUGGGGGGAACCCUGAUCCAGCCAUGCCGCGUGUGUGAAGAAGGCCUUCGGGUUGUAAAGCACUUUAAUUUGGGAGGAAGGGCUUACGGUUAAUAACCGCUAAGUUUUGACGUUACCAAAAGAAUAAGCACCGGCUAACUUCGUGCCAGCAGCCGCGGUAAUACGAAGGGUGCGAGCGUUAAUCGGAAUUACUGGGCGUAAAGCGCGCGUAGGUGGUUCAUUAAGUUAGGAGUGAAAGCCCCGGGCUCAACCUGGGAAUUGCUUCUAAAACUGGUGAGCUAAAGUACGGUAGAGGGUGGUGGAAUUUCCUGUGUAGCGGUGAAAUGCGUAGAUAUAGGAAGGAACAUCAGUGGCGAAGGCGACCACCUGGACUGAUACUGACACUGAGGUGCGAAAGCGUGGGGAGCAAACAGGAUUAAAUACCCUGGUAGUCCACGCCGUAAACGAUGUCAACUA
This 701-nucleotide ribosomal RNA is filed under the name uncultured bacterium. Its description in RNAcentral is "bacterial SSU rRNA". It matches the Rfam family "Bacterial small subunit ribosomal RNA", at positions 125 to 818 of the family's 1533-position model. The record is from RNAcentral.